Molecule: ribosomal RNA, 805 nt
Filed under: uncultured bacterium
Lineage: Bacteria
Description: bacterial SSU rRNA
Rfam family: Bacterial small subunit ribosomal RNA
Source: RNAcentral
GCAAGUCGAGCGCGCCCUUCGGGGUGAGCGGCGGACGGGUGAGUAACGCGUGGGAACGUGCCCUUUGCUGCGGAAUAGCCACUGGAAACGGUGAGUAAUACCGCAUGAGCCCUUCGGGGGAAAGAUUUAUCGGCAAGGGAUCGGCCCGCGUUGGAUUAGGUAGUUGGUGGGGUAAUGGCCUACCAAGCCGACGAUCCAUAGCUGGUUUCAGAGGAUGAUCAGCCACACUGGGACUGAGACACGGCCCAGACUCCUACGGGAGGCAGCAGUGGGGAAUCUUAGACAAUGGGCGCAAGCCUGAUCUAGCCAUGCCGCGUGAGUGACGAAGGCCCUAGGGUCGUAAAGCUCUUUCGCCUGUGAAGAUAAUGACGGUAGCAGGUAAAGAAACCCCGGCUAACUCCGUGCCAGCAGCCGCGGUAAUACGGAGGGGGUUAGCGUUGUUCGGAAUUACUGGGCGUAAAGCGCGCGUAGGCGGACCAUCAAGUUGGGGGUGAAAUCCCGGGGCUCAACCCCGGAACUGCCUCCAAAACUGGCGGUCUGGAGUUCGAGAGAGGUGAGUGGAAUUCCGAGUGUAGAGGUGAAAUUCGUAGAUAUUCGGAGGAACACCAGUGGCGAAAGCGGCUCACUGGCUCGAGACUGACGCUGAGGUGCGAAAGUGUGGGGAGCAAACAGGAUUAGAUACCCUGGUAGUCCACACCGUAAACGAUGAAUGCCAGUCGUCGGCAAGCAUGCUUGUCGGUGACACACCUAACGGAUUAAGCAUUCGCUGGGGAGUACGGCGCAAGGUUACACUCAAUGAUGACGA